This 207-nucleotide ribosomal RNA is filed under the name uncultured bacterium. RNAcentral's name for it is "partial 16S ribosomal RNA". It matches the Rfam family "Bacterial small subunit ribosomal RNA", at positions 568 to 774 of the family's 1533-position model. The record is from RNAcentral.
UGCGUAGGUGGUCUGUUAAGUCGGAUGUGAAAUCCCCGGGCUCAACCUGGGAAUGGCAUCCGAUACUGGCGGACUUGGAGUCUUGGAGAGGGUGGUGGAAUUCCUGGUGUAGCGGUGAAAUGCGUAGAGAUCAGGAGGAACACUAGUGGCGAAGGCGGCCACCUGGCCAAAGACUGACGCUGAGGCACGAAAGCGUGGGAGCAAACA